CUAAUGUUAUAUGUGUAAUUGUGUUUAUUUGAUACUUGUAAUAAAUUGUUGCACCCAGUACUCGUUUUAUAUGAAGUUCAUAGUAAAGUAGAAUUUUUGGGUAAAUUCGCUUUUACGGAGAUCGAGUCGGGUCCAUUCCAGCUUUGGGUUGUUGUUUAAUUGUUAAAUGUAGCAUGGCUGCGUCCAGGCCUUAUUUUGGAUGGCAAAAUUCAAAGCAAUUUUUAUAACCCUCCCACCCACACCAAUAGUAUUAUUGGCUGGUAGCUUGCUUUGCUUCUUCUUAGCUUUAAUAGUGCGUUUUGACCAGUUCUGAGCUGAAUUAGCUCAUGCCUUAUAUUUGGGAAGCUUCAAUUUUCUUUUUAGUUAUAUUAUAUUGCUUAAUGUAUUUUUUAAACAGUAAUGUUUUCAUGUGAUUAUUUACUAAGCAGAGCUCUAUAACAGCUCAUAUGGGGUAGUAGUUUUCAUAUUCUACUUAUAGCAGUUAGCUUAUAUUAUGCCUUUUUGCUUUUUAAGACAUGCUUUAUAUUCAUUGCUCUAAUGUUAUAUGUGUAAUUGUGUUUAUUUGAUACUUGUAAUAAAUUGUUGCACCC
Molecule: long non-coding RNA, 590 nt
Filed under: Mytilus galloprovincialis (Mediterranean mussel)
Lineage: Eukaryota; Metazoa; Mollusca; Bivalvia; Mytilida; Mytilidae
Source: RNAcentral